This is a long non-coding RNA of Astatotilapia calliptera (eastern happy), 1469 nucleotides long. The record is from Ensembl. Lineage: Eukaryota; Metazoa; Chordata; Actinopteri; Cichliformes; Cichlidae.
GUUUAAACGUCACAGGCAAGUUAGAGAUCUUCCGUACUGAGAACCAAAUUCAUCCAGCAAGUGUGUUGUUGAUGUCACUAUGAGGAAGUGAGCAGGAAGUCAGUGCUGUAUUCAUCUUUGUUACUGCCUCACUUGUGAACGUGAGAGCAAGAGUAGAGACUGAGAGAGACGGAGAAGCACGAUGGCUGAGUUCAGAUGGAUUCAAAUGUUUCUGUUCCUGAUACUGACGCUUCAGUUUAAAGCAGUGACUGGACAACAUCGCCCCACAUUCCUGGUCAGACUUGGUGAUGAGGUCACUUUGCCUUGUCAAAAUGUGACAGUUGGUCAGCCUGAGUGUAACAGAACUGACUGGAUCUUCAGAUGUUUGAAUGUUGCUGACACAGUCAGGCUGAUUCAUCUUGGUUUGAUUGAAGAAAAGCACAAAAAUACAUCAGACAGACUGAGUGUUACAGCAAACUGCUCUCUGGUCAUAAAGAACAUCACAGUUCAUGAUGCUGGUCACUACACCUGCAGACACUACACAUCACAAGACCAACAACACUGUGGAAAAUCCUGUUCUUCUCUGUCCGUCAUCAACAUGACUGAAGAUGAGAACAAUGGUACAGUCAUCUUGUCCUGCUCUGUGUUGGAGUAUGAUCCAUGUACACACACAGUACAGUGGAUCUAUGAGGGUGAAGAGAAAUUCUCAGACAUGCAGAUAUCACCACCAGGCUGCACUGCCACUGUGACAUUUACAACAUCUCACCUUAAUCAGAAGUUUUUUGAGUCAUUAAAGUGUAAUGUGAUGAAUAUGAACAAUGGGAAAGUGCAGCUGUUUCCUUUCAGCCGUCAGUCCUCAGGUGGGACAACAGAUGGGGAUGAAUCAUCAGAUGGAGGUUCAUCAUUGCUGUAUAUUAUUGUUCUUGCAUGUUUAGUAGCACUCUUAAUUAUUGUAGCAUUCGUCAUAUGGAAGAAAAUGAAAGGGAAAAAAACACAAAGGGAAGACAAUGCUGUUGGUUUAAACACUGAAGGAUUAGGUUUAAACCCAGCUGAGAUUCAGUCUGAUCCAGGAAACAGUCAGGAGAUGGUGUCAUUCUGUUGUGUCCACUGUGUAGGAUGAUCUUGAGGAUGGUGUUAACUAUGCUUCCAUCAACUACACUAAGAAGGCCAACAGUAAGGCCAGUGCUCAGGUCCACGAUGAUGAAGGUACCACUGUGACAUACAGCACAGUGAAAGCUCCCUCAGCUUCUCUUGAAGUCUCCACUGAUCCCAGCAACCUGUAUUCCACCAUCACCAAAUAAGAUACUGUAUUUAAAGAUUACAUGUUUUAAUACUGUUAUUUGGAUCUUAUAUUUAGAGUUAUAUCGUCUACUUCAACAUUACAUGGGUAUACUGAAGGGUUUAUAAAAUAAAUCUAGUUUAUUUUACUGUCUAUUUUGUUUAUUUGUUGUUUAUGGUUUUGGAAAAUAAAUAAAUUAAUGAAUAAUUAA